GACGAACGCUGGCGGCGUGCUUAGCACAUGCAAGUCGAACGGAAAGGCCCUGCUUUUGUGGGGUGCUCGAGUGGCGAACGGGUGAGUAACACGUGAGUAACCUGCCCUUGACUUUGGGGUAACUUCAGGAAACUGGGGCUAAUACCGGAUAGGAGCUCCUGCUGCAUGGUGGGGGUUGGAAAGUUUCGGCGGUUGGGGAUGGACUCGCGGCUUAUCAGCUUGUUGGUGGGGUAGUGGCUUACCAAGGCUUUGACGGGUAGCCGGCCUGAGAGGGUGACCGGCCACAUUGGGACUGAGAUACGGCCCAGACUCCUACGGGAGGCAGCAGUGGGGAAUAUUGCACAAUGGGCGGAAGCCUGAUGCAGCAACGCCGCGUGCGGGAUGACGGCCUUCGGGUUGUAAACCGCUUUCGCCUGUGACGAAGCGUGAGUGACGGUAAUGGGUAAAGAAGCACCGGCUAACUACGUG
Molecule: ribosomal RNA, 468 nt
Filed under: uncultured bacterium
Lineage: Bacteria
Description: partial 16S ribosomal RNA
Rfam family: Bacterial small subunit ribosomal RNA
Source: RNAcentral